UACGUAGGGGGCAAGCGUUGUCCGGAAUCAUUGGGCGUAAAGAGCGCGUAGGCGGCCCUGUAAGUCCGCUGUGAAAGUCAAGGGCUCAACCCUUGAAUGCCGGUGGAUACUGCAGGGCUAGAGUCCGGAAGAGGCGAGUGGAAUUCCUGGUGUAGCGGUGAAAUGCGCAGAUAUCAGGAGGAACACCCAGGGGGAAACCAGUCGACUGGGCAGCACCUGACGCUGAGGUGCGAGAGCGUGGGGAGCGAGCCGG
RNAcentral lists this ribosomal RNA (253 nucleotides) under uncultured bacterium. RNAcentral's name for it is "partial 16S ribosomal RNA". It matches the Rfam family "Bacterial small subunit ribosomal RNA", at positions 524 to 776 of the family's 1533-position model. The record is from RNAcentral.